RNAcentral lists this ribosomal RNA (438 nucleotides) under uncultured bacterium. RNAcentral describes it as "bacterial SSU rRNA". It matches the Rfam family "Bacterial small subunit ribosomal RNA", at positions 958 to 1398 of the family's 1533-position model. The record is from RNAcentral.
AACGCGAAGAACCUUACCUACCCUUGACAUGUCCAGAAUUUCCGUGAAAGCGGAGAGUGCCGAAAGGAACUGGAACACAGGUGCUGCAUGGCUGUCGUCAGCUCGUGUCGUGAGAUGUUGGGUUAAGUCCCGUAACGAGCGCAACCCCUGUAUUUAAUUGCCAUCAUUAAGUUGGGUACAUUAAAUAGACUGUCGGUGAUAAACCGGAGGAAGGUGGGGAUGAUGUCAAGUCCUCAUGGCCCUUAUGGGUAGGGCUACACACGUGCUACAAUGGGCAGUACAGAGGGAAGCGAAGCCGCGAGGUGAAGCAAAACUCAGAAAGCUGUUCGUAGUCCGGAUUGGAGUCUGCAACUCGACUCUAUGAAGCUGGAAUCGCUAGUAAUCGCGGAUCAGAAUGCCGCGGUGAAUACGUUCCCGGGCCUUGUACACACCGCUGUA